RNAcentral lists this microRNA precursor (103 nucleotides) under Marmota monax (woodchuck). Lineage: Eukaryota; Metazoa; Chordata; Mammalia; Rodentia; Sciuridae. The record is from RNAcentral.
AGUGGGAUAACUGGGUCAAAUGGUGGUUCCAUUCCAAGUUUUCUGAGGAAUAUCUAUACUGGUUUCCAAAGUGACUGCACCAAUUUGCAGUCCCAUCAGCAAU